Molecule: ribosomal RNA, 430 nt
Filed under: uncultured bacterium
Lineage: Bacteria
Description: partial 16S ribosomal RNA
Rfam family: Bacterial small subunit ribosomal RNA
Source: RNAcentral
AACGAACGCUGGCGGCAUGCCUAACACAUGCAAGUCGAACGAUCCCUUCGGGGAUAGUGGCGCACGGGUGCGUAACGCGUGGGAACCUGCCCUUAGGUUCGGAAUAACUCAGAGAAAUUUGAGCUAAUACCGGAUAAUGUCUUCGGACCAAGAUUUAUCGCCUUUGGAUGGGCCCGCGUUGGAUUAGCUAGUUGGUGGGGUAAAGGCCUACCAAGGCGACGAUCCAUAGCUGGUCUGAGAGGAUGAUCAGCCACACUGGGACUGAGACACGGCCCAGACUCCGACGGGAGGCAGCAGUGGGGAAUAUUGGACAAUGGGCGAAAGCCUGAUCCAGCAAUGCCGCGUGAGGGAUGAAGGCCUUAGGGUUGUAAAGCUCUUUUACCCGGGAUGAUAAUGACAGUACCGGGAGAAUAAGCCCCGGCUAACUCCG